Molecule: transfer RNA, 59 nt
Filed under: Loxodonta africana (African savanna elephant)
Lineage: Eukaryota; Metazoa; Chordata; Mammalia; Proboscidea; Elephantidae
Rfam family: tRNA
About the family: Transfer RNA (tRNA) molecules are approximately 80 nucleotides in length. Their secondary structure includes four short double-helical elements and three loops (D, anti-codon, and T loops). Further hydrogen bonds mediate the characteristic L-shaped molecular structure. tRNAs have two regions of fundamental functional importance: the anti-codon, which is responsible for specific mRNA codon recognition, and the 3' end, to which the tRNAs corresponding amino acid is attached (by aminoacyl-tRNA synthetases). tRNAs cope with the degeneracy of the genetic code in two manners: having more than one tRNA (with a specific anti-codon) for a particular amino acid; and 'wobble' base-pairing, i.e. permitting non-standard base-pairing at the 3rd anti-codon position.
Source: Rfam by way of RNAcentral
UUGGCUCAGUGGUUAAGCGCUCGGCUCCUAACCAGAAGGUCAGUGGUUCAAAUCCAUUA